RNAcentral lists this ribosomal RNA (757 nucleotides) under Streptomyces sp. KI12. Its description in RNAcentral is "bacterial SSU rRNA". It matches the Rfam family "Bacterial small subunit ribosomal RNA", at positions 555 to 1302 of the family's 1533-position model. Lineage: Bacteria; Bacillati; Actinomycetota; Actinomycetes; Kitasatosporales; Streptomycetaceae. The record is from RNAcentral.
UGGGCGUAAAGAGCUUCGUAAGGCGGCUUGUCGCGUCGGAUGUGAAAGCCCGGAGCUUAACUCCGGGUCUGCAUUCGAUACGGGCAGGCUAGAGUUCGGUAGGGGAGAUCGGAAUUCCUGGUGUAGCGUUGAAAUGCGCAGAUAUCAGGAGGAACACCGGUGGCGAAGGCGGAUCUCUGGGCCGAUACUGACGCUGAGGAGCGAAAGCGUGGGGAGCGAACAGGAUUAGAUACCCUGGUAGUCCACGCCGUAAACGUUGGGAACUAGGUGUGGGCGACAUUCCACGUUGUCCGCGCCGCAGCUAACGCAUUAAGUUCCCCGCCUGGGGAGUACGGCCGCAAGGCUAAAACUCAAAGGAAUUGACGGGGGCCCGCACAAGCGGCGGAGCAUGUGGCUUAAUUCGACGCAACGCGAAGAACCUUACCAAGGCUUGACAUACACCGGAAACCUCUGGAGACAGGGGCCCCCUUGUGGUCGGUGUACAGGUGGUGCAUGGCUGUCGUCAGCUCGUGUCGUGAGAUGUUGGGUUAAGUCCCGCAACGAGCGCAACCCUUGUUCUGUGUUGCCAGCAUGCCUUUCGGGGUGAUGGGGACUCACAGGAGACUGCCGGGGUCAACUCGGAGGAAGGUGGGGACGACGUCAAGUCAUCAUGCCCCUUAUGUCUUGGGCUGCACACGUGCUACAAUGGCCGGUACAAUGAGCUGUGAAGCCGUGAGGUGGAGCGAAUCUCAAAAAGCCGGUCUCAGUUCGGAUUGGG